AGCGAACGCUGGCGGCAUGCUUAACACAUGCAAGUCGCACGAGGUGCAAGCCUAGUGGCGGACGGGUGAGUAACGCGUAGGUAUCUGUCCAUGGGUGGGGGAUAACAGCGGGAAACUGCUGCUAAUACCGCAUGACACCUGAGGGUCAAAGGCGCAAGUCGCCUGUGGAGGAGCCUGCGUACGAUUAGCUUGUUGGUGGGUAAUGGCCUACCAAGGCGACGAUCGUUAGCUGGUCUGAGAGGAUGAUCAGCCACAUUGGGACUGAGACACGGCCCAAACUCCUACGGGAGGCAGCAGUGGGGAAUAUUGGACAAUGGGCGAAAGCCUGAUCCAGCAAUGCCGCGUGUGUGAAGAAGGUCUUAGGAUUGUAAAGCACUUUCGACGG
This 385-nucleotide ribosomal RNA is filed under the name uncultured bacterium. Its description in RNAcentral is "bacterial SSU rRNA". It matches the Rfam family "Bacterial small subunit ribosomal RNA", at positions 29 to 442 of the family's 1533-position model. The record is from RNAcentral.